RNAcentral lists this ribosomal RNA (18 nucleotides) under Septoria tormentillae. Its description in RNAcentral is "partial 18S ribosomal RNA". Lineage: Eukaryota; Fungi; Ascomycota; Dothideomycetes; Mycosphaerellales; Mycosphaerellaceae. The record is from RNAcentral.
ACUGAAGGAGGGACAUUA